GCCUUCUGCAUCUACAGAAGUCUGCUGUAAUUGUGUGACCCAGUCGAUCUGUUUCACGCAAUAAUGCCAGCAGAGUCUCACGCAGAAGGAGAUCAUCGUGCACCGAACCGCCAACGAGACGCAGCCGAACCUCUUUCUUAAUGUUCAUUGGCUGCGGCCUCGAGGUGAAGUGCUACAGCC
Small nucleolar RNA from Gambusia affinis (western mosquitofish), 180 nucleotides. The record is from Ensembl. Lineage: Eukaryota; Metazoa; Chordata; Actinopteri; Cyprinodontiformes; Poeciliidae.